CCCAACAUACGUGCGACUGUCAGCGCACAUCACAGCUUCCUCUGGAGCUGGACCAACUCGCAGAUGACUCUACAUCUAUGCGCAGCGACACUGAUGUUAAAGUCACAGAGAAGGAAGGUGUUGUUGCGGCAGCCGAGCAAGCAAAGAAGGAAGAUAGUCACAAACGCGAGAUCAAUCGGGAUGGUGAGAAAGAGGAGAAGAGCAAAAAACUUCGGAAAGCUGAUUCGAAAGAGAGCAUCCCAACGUCCGUUGAGAAAAAGCCGGCUCCAAAGCCCCCUGUUCCGGUUGAUGUGAGUGAGAAAAAAUCAUCGCGUGAAAAAGGUCCAGCGCCACCUCCUCCGGCAGUUCGGCAAAACAGCAAAAGUGAAGAUAAGGAGAAUGUGCCGAAAGUGACUGAGGCCUCGAGUGGCACGGAGUUAUCGGAAAAAUCGUCUACGAUUAACGACAAGCGAAACGAGAAGAUGACAGCGGAAAACCAGGCUGAUCACGUACGACAGAGUCUUAAUGGUGAAGAACAAAAGGGACGAGUCGACGAUAAAAAGGCAUCGGAAGGUAGCCCGGAAAUCGAGAAGAAGAAAGGCUUGACGGAGAACAAAAAAGACGUUGAUAUGAGAGCAAAAUCUGUGGAAAAUAAGAGAACAACGGUCGAAAAAGAUCAAGAAAGUUUAGAGGAAAAACGGAAAUCAGCACCAGUUCAACCGGAGUCUUCGGAUGUUUGGAAAAAACCCGUUUUCAGUAAGCAGAGCUCUCUGGACGAAAAACGGGGAAGCGAGAGUAAAGUUAUCGAGGAACGACCACGUUACGAGAAGCAGAUAUCGCUCCAAGAAAGUCGUCAAAGUCUCGAAGAAAAGAGAAAAUCAGUAGAGAGCAAGCUAAACGCAGUCUUGGAGAAGCGUAUUUCUAUGGAAGCGGUGAAACGCAUGUCCGACGCUUCAAUAGAAACAUUGAAACGUAGCACACAGUCGAGCAGCGAAACUUCGUUGUUCUCGGAGAAGAACAACGCUCGUGCUUUCUCGAGUGAGAAUAUUAAGACGGGUGGCGAAUUCGGAACAAACAAGACUGAACGACCGGCCAAAAGUCGUAGCGCUGGAUCGUCGAGAAACGAUUCCCUUGAGAACUUUGACCAACAAUUUGACGGCGAUAGAAAAAAUCGAAUUCACGAGGACACGGUCGAUCGCAGUUCGAAUCGAGAAAGAAGGGGUUCGGGUGUCAAUGUUUCUGUCAUUACAUCGACGCCGAUUAGAAGCAAGAGCCUCUCAAGAACGGAAAGUGGCGAUAAUGUUGUCGUUAUUACGGGAAAAUCACAAUCUGAACAGGAUCCUCGUUCAAAUACAUCAACGACCGUGCGAAUAACAGCGGAUUCUCCUGAUCCAUCUAACAGUUUAGCGAGUAACGUGAGCCAGGUAACAGUAGUAACGACUCACCCGCCGGUACUGAUAGACGCGACUUCGACACCGCCGCCGCUGCGUCGUCAAUCACCAAUUUCGGAAGUGGUUAUAGUCGCAAACGAGACGAACAAGACGCAAGUAAACGAGUCUUCGACCGACGACGACGGUUUCACGUCGCUGGACAGCCUUGAGUAUACACCUCACGAGCAGCCGAUCGUAAUAACGGAAGCACCAAAGCGCAUAGGCAAAAAAUUGGAUGAAUCAGAGGUUGUGAUAGUGAGUUCGAUCGUAAACGAUGAAUUGAACGAAGAAUUAACGAAUGAACGGGACACGAGUCACGUAUCGGUGGUGACGGUGGGUGACGAGGGAGAACGGGUGAAGGAUUCUUCAAUAAAUGCAUCGAGCAAGCGCAACGUCGCUCGAACUAUUUCGUCCAACAGUGACAAGUGUACGAACGAUCAUAUGCUGGCGAAUCGGGAAAAUGUCGACGAUUUCACAAGAACGGCGAUGACAGUCGCUGGCACGACUGUUGAAUCAACCGAUGUCGAUGAGGUCCAAGAUGGAAAAUCAAGAAAAAUGAAUGGGCAAUUAAAAACGGAACAGACUGGCCGUAAUCACGAAAUGGCGCGAUCGUCGAGUGGGAAAGUUCGUGAAAAACACGAUUCAAAGGAAAAACGCGCGUCACCUGAUUUUUACGAAGCUUCAAGGUCACAGAGCGAUUCAGGCUCGACGCGUUCGCACACACCUAACAAGAGUAACGAUCGAUCUGAUGCUGAAUCCAUAUCGACUACCACGAGCCAAGAUAGCCGCGGCUCGAAUAAAGAAAAUCACGCUGGACGUGAUUCAAUUCGUCAAUUCCCGGAACACGAAGACGAAGUUGUUCUUCGUCGUAAACCCGAUUACAACCGCGAACAACCGAGACCACCGAGGAGCAAGGAGGAUAUACAAAUGAUGAAUUUGAAGAAAAAGACUCGAAAACGUACCCGAAAGUUUGAGAUCGACGGUGUCGUUGUGACAACAACCACUUCCAAAGUAAUCUAUGGUGAUGACGAGAAUGGGCGCACUUACGAUGAUCAAAUAUUCCGCAAGCAGGAACUGCGGGAGCUCAAAAUGUUACAGAAGAUGGAACAGAAGCAAUUUCAGGAUUUAUCGCAAAAGUCACAUUUCAACAAGGAUCAACAGGAAAGACGUUUCGAGCAAGAGAGACAAUUAUUAGAGCGCGGUGCCGAGGCUGAUCUCGAUACAUUGGCACGGCAACAGAGACAGCAAAUCGAACGUGCAGAAGCUCAGCAAGAGGCCGAUUUGCGUUUGGCUUCGAAAAAAAUUCGUGGCGAGCAGGAACGUGAUUUGAAACAAUUUCGGGAUGGCCUCAAACAAGAAUUACGCUUGCUCAAACAAGAGGUCGACCUUAUGCCUAAAGAACGAAGAAAGAGCGCUUUUAAAAUGCGCAAAGAGAAAUUAGAAGCGGAACACGAAGAGAGAGAAAAACUGUUUCUCGAGAAAUUGAACGAAAGUCACGAGACUUCGCUCAGACGAUUGUCAGACAGUCAUCGUGAAAAAAUCGCCCUUAUGGAACGCCAGUUUUUACAACAGAAACAACAGUUGAUGAGAGCUCGCGAAUCCGCUAUUUGGGAAUUAGAGGACCGUCAAAUUCAUGAGAGGCAACAAUUGUUGAAGAGACAACUCAAAGAUAUUUUCUUCUUGCAACGUCAUCAAAUGCUCAUACGCCAUGAGAAAGAAUUGGAACAGAUGAAACGAAUGAACCAACGCAAGGAAGAAGAAUUGAUCAAGAGACAAACGGUCGAACGUCGCAAUCUACCAAAACGCAUACGCAACGAGAUGAAAGCUCGUGAAAUGAUGUUCCGCGAGUCCAUGCGGAUUUCCAUAAGUUCAGCUUUAGCUACCGAUCCCGAUGCCGAACGGGAUAAGCUCAAAAAGUUUCAGGAAAACGAGAAAAAACGUUAUCGUGCCGAGCAACAGAGAUUCGAACUUAAACACGCCAGACAACUCGAAGAGGUCAGAGCACAGAGCGACGCGACGAUCAAAGAGCUCGAACAGUUGCAGAAUGAGAAGAGAAAAAUGCUCAUGGAGUACGAGACUAUGAAGCUCAAGGAGCAGGAGGAAGCUUAUACGAAAGAGCUUAAAGAAUGGAAGGCACAGUUGACGCCUCGCAAACAGAAAUUAGAAGCUGAACUGGCGAGUCAAAUGGAAGCGUUGGAGGCCCGUUAUCGAGAUUAUUUGCCCUCCCGAUUAUCCUCCCUAUCGUUUGCGGCUUUUACCUUAUCCGCAAUGUCCGCAGCUUCGGCGUGGAAAAAAUCACCUCACAUGUCACGUUCCAUGCCAAAUUCACCUACACCUUUCAGUAUACCGAGGGUUACAUUGCGCGGCAGUGGCUCGGAUACUGGUUCUAUUAACGGUACUCUCCCAAGAUCCCACGACAUCCCGCCCAAUCCGCGCAGAUAAAGUCUCAUUUUUGUAUGGCCCCUUGUACUCAUUUUUGUGUGUGUCUUUCAUUGAAUACGUCCGUGGCAAAACCUUCCUAUGUGCAUUGUAACGUCCAUACUCAUCGUUAUCUCGUUCGUUUCACAAAAGUAUUUGGAUUUUUUUGCGCAACAAAAAAAUUACAAAAGGAGAGCAAACUACGCUUGUUGUUUGUAAUUUGACAAUACAAAUUGCGAAUAACGAUUGUAAUAGUAAUAGAUGAAUCGAUUAUAGAUCGAUUAGAAAGCAACAAUGUCGUUGGAAAAGAUCUCGGAUUAUUGAUUUUUUCUGACGAACAAAAAUCAUUGUCCAUUCCGAAAAUUCAUAACAUUCUUUAUCGCUUAUGUCUUUGUGUUUCUUCCUCUCUUUCUUUCGUUUUGUCCAUCUUCAUGGUCUGUGUGUACGUGUGUUCUUUUUCCAUCAAAAUUCUAUGAAAAUUUAAAAGAUAGCUCGAUAUCAAUGUUGGGUGCAGUUAGAUCAGUGUUUUAGAUACUUAGUAAAGUUUAUUGGAAUUGCACAAAUGCUCAUCAUUAUACACCUGGGUAUGCUUUUGUCAGUCACGAAAAAAAAAAAAAAAAAAAAAAAUCAAAUAAAGUGAUAACAAUGAAUCCCAGUCAAACAUUCCUUAUGAAAGUGAGCCAAUCUAAAACCAGAAUCCAGCAUUGAUUGGAAGGAACGUGUGAUUAAGUUGCAGAAGAGGCUUGAAGAACAAUUUGCGAUGCAACUGGAUGAGCAAGAAGCAAUUUACGGACCGAGUGCUAUACCGCUUUGCUUGCCACCGGAUCUUCCGGAUUUGACUCAUCACACAGCUGGUUCGACCCGAAGUUCUCUGUCGUCAG
RNAcentral lists this unclassified non-coding RNA (4708 nucleotides) under Venturia canescens. RNAcentral describes it as "serine/threonine-protein kinase 10, transcript variant X2". Lineage: Eukaryota; Metazoa; Arthropoda; Insecta; Hymenoptera; Ichneumonidae. The record is from RNAcentral.